CGGUAGCUAAUACCGCAUAACGUCGCAAGACCAAAGAGGGGGACCUUCGGGCCUCUUGCCAUCAGAUGUGCCCAGAUGGGAUUAGCUAGUAGGUGGGGUAACGGCUCACCUAGGUGACGAUCCCUAGCUGGUCUGAGAGGAUGACCAGCCACACUGGAACUGAGACACGGUCCAGACUCCUACGGGAGGCAGCAUG
Molecule: ribosomal RNA, 196 nt
Filed under: uncultured bacterium
Lineage: Bacteria
Description: partial 16S ribosomal RNA
Rfam family: Bacterial small subunit ribosomal RNA
Source: RNAcentral